RNAcentral lists this long non-coding RNA (915 nucleotides) under Sorghum bicolor (sorghum). RNAcentral describes it as "long non-coding RNA (SBIC_LNC012668)". The record is from RNAcentral. Lineage: Eukaryota; Viridiplantae; Streptophyta; Magnoliopsida; Poales; Poaceae.
UGCAUGGGAAGAAGAUCGCUAUCUACCUCGCCGGCGGAGUGGUCAGACAACCUGCAACAUCGCUGCACCACUUGGGGUAGGGAACCCCAAGAUCCAACCCACCUUGGCAUGCUUGGCUCAAACCAACACUGACUUAGAUCGAGUCUCAGAUGAGCUAGAUGCCCUGAGGAAGGCCUACCUUGAGUUGGCUGUUGAGAACGCCAAGUUGAAGCAACAGCAGGGGAGUCAUGUUGAGGAAGUACCACUCAUCCUUGCAGAGUCACCCCCAAGGAACCAUGAGGACCCCAACACCGGCACCAACCUUGACCCCUAGGAGGAUUUUCCCCACUUGUAAUAAGUACGCAUAGAGAUGCGAGAGUGUGUUUUUAUUUUCUACUGAUUGAACAAUUGUUAUUACGUGAAUGCAUGUUUGUAAUAAUGCUUAAUGGGUGAGUUGGAUUUUUGUCAUGAUUUCAAUGAUUGUGGGCAUGUCCGCAGUCAUUUAGAUUUGGGUUAAGGUCUAAGGAUAAUAUGAAUAAAUAGUUGGGUUUACUUAUAUCCUGCUGUCCACCCAUGUUUCUCCCUCUGAGCAGUCUGCCUUAAUAUUUGUAUAUCCCGAGUUCUGGAUGGUCUAAAAAUACAAAAAAAAAAUUGGAAUAAAAUAGACUUCUAUAUCUUUCAUUUGGCUCUGGAACUGCCACAAUAUCUGUUACCCUUUGAGAGAUAAAAUUGUUACAAGGUGACCUCUCUGUGCAGUCAGAAAUUCCAGAACAGUAAAAGUUGUCGCCUGUUUUUACCUAUGUAAACGCCAGAAUUGGAGAAAACGAUCUCAAUGAAAGUUGUAGGAAAAAUUUUCGAGCUUUCCAGAAAGUUAAAUUUCGCAGUCAGACGUUAAACAGAGAGAAAGAUAUGCUUGUUUUACUUCACUGUGGUGUC